AGAGUUUGAUCCUGGCUCAGAUUGAACGCUGGCGGCAUGCCUUACACAUGCAAGUCGAACGGCAGCACGGGAGCAAUCCUGGUGGCGAGUGGCGAACGGGUGAGUAAUAUAUCGGAACGUGCCCAGUCGUGGGGGAUAACGUAGCGAAAGCUACGCUAAUACCGCAUACGAUCUAUGGAUGAAAGCGGGGGAUCGCAAGACCUCGCGCGAUUGGAGCGGCCGAUAUCAGAUUAGCUAGUUGGUGGGGUAAAGGCCCACCAAGGCGACGAUCUGUAGCUGGCCUGAGAGGACGACCAGCCACACUGGAACUGAGACACGGUCCAGACUCCUACGGGAGGCAGCAGUGGGGAAUUUUGGACAAUGGGCGCAAGCCUGAUCCAGCAAUGCCGCGUGCAGGACGAAGGCCUUCGGGUUUAAACUGCUUUUGUACGGAACGAAAAGGUCUGCCC
RNAcentral lists this ribosomal RNA (449 nucleotides) under uncultured bacterium. Its description in RNAcentral is "bacterial SSU rRNA". It matches the Rfam family "Bacterial small subunit ribosomal RNA", at positions 8 to 460 of the family's 1533-position model. The record is from RNAcentral.